This 469-nucleotide ribosomal RNA is filed under the name uncultured bacterium. Its description in RNAcentral is "bacterial SSU rRNA". It matches the Rfam family "Bacterial small subunit ribosomal RNA", at positions 28 to 498 of the family's 1533-position model. The record is from RNAcentral.
GACGAACGCUGGCGGCGUGCCUAACACAUGCAAGUCAACUUGACUGAAGGAGCAAUCUGACAGUAGAGUGGCGCAAGGGUGCGUAACGCGUAAGUAACUUGCCCAAGGUAAGGAAUAACGUCGAGAAAUCGGCGCUAAUACCUCAUAAUGCAGCGGAUCCGCAUGGAUAUGUUGUUAAAGGUUUACCGCCUUGGGAUAGGCUUGCGUCUGAUUAGUUAGUUGGUGUGGUAACGGCACACCAAGGCUACGAUCAGUAACUGGUCUGAGAGGAUGAUCAGUCACACUGGAACUGAGACACGGUCCAGACUCCUACGGGAGGCAGCAGUGAGGAAUAUUGGGCAAUGCUCGAAAGAGUGACCCAGCAACGCCGCGUGGAGGAUGAAGGUAUUCUAUAUCGUAAACUCCUGUGAGAGCAGACGAAAGACAGAUUAUAAUCUGGAUGACUGUAUGCUCAGAGGAAGCCCCGGCU